GACAGAGGGGGCAAGCGUUGCUCGGAAUCACUGGGCGUAAAGGGCGCGUAGGCGGGAUGGCAAGUCAGUCGUGAAAUCUCUCGGCUCAACCGAGAAACGUCGGCUGAUACUGCCGUUCUUGAGGGAUGCAGAGGAGACUGGAAUUCCCGGUGUAGCGGUGAAAUGUGUAGAUAUCGGGAGGAACACCAGUGGCGAAGGCGACUACCUGGCCUGUUUCUUGACGCUGAGGCGCGAAAGCUAGGGGAGCAAACGGG
This 254-nucleotide ribosomal RNA is filed under the name uncultured bacterium. RNAcentral's name for it is "partial 16S ribosomal RNA". It matches the Rfam family "Bacterial small subunit ribosomal RNA", at positions 524 to 776 of the family's 1533-position model. The record is from RNAcentral.